UGGGGAAUCUUGCGCAAUGGGCGAAAGCCUGACGCAGCGACGCCGCGUGAGCGAUGAAGGCCUUCGGGUUGUAAAGCUCUGUGGGGAGGGAAGAAUAAGGCGGUGCUAAUCAGCCGCUGAUGACGGUACCUCCUUAGCAAGCACCGGCUAACUCUGUGCCAGCAGCCGCGGUAAGACAGAGGGUGCAAACGUUGUUCGGAAUUACUGGGCGUAAAGCGCGUGUAGGUGGCUUCGCAAGUCGGAUGUGAAAACCCCAGGCUCACCCUGGGAAGUGCACCCGAAACUGCGUCGCUAGAGUCCCGGAGAGGAAGGUGGAAUGCUUGGUGUAGAGGUGAAAUUCGUAGAUAUCAAGCGGAACACCAGUGGCGAAGGCGGCCUUCUGGACGGUGACUGACACUGA
This 400-nucleotide ribosomal RNA is filed under the name uncultured bacterium. Its description in RNAcentral is "bacterial SSU rRNA". It matches the Rfam family "Bacterial small subunit ribosomal RNA", at positions 355 to 749 of the family's 1533-position model. The record is from RNAcentral.